GACGAACGCUGGCGGCGUGCUUAACACAUGCAAGUCGAACGGAAAGGCCCUGCUUUUGUGGGGUGCUCGAGUGGCGAACGGGUGAGUAGCACGUGAGUAACCUGCCCUUGACUUUGGGAUAACUUCAGGAAACUGGGGCUAAUACCGGAUAGGAGCUCCUGCUGCAUGGUGGGGGUUGGAAAGUUUCGGCGGUUGGGGAUGGACUCGCGGCUUAUCAGCUUGUUGGUGGGGUAGUGGCUUACCAAGGCUUUGACGGGUAGCCGGCCUGAGAGGGUGACCGGCCACAUUGGGACUGAGAUACGGCCCGGACUCCUACGGGAGGCAGCAGUGGGGAAUAUUGCACAAUGGGCGGAAGCCUGAUGCAGCAACGCCGCGUGCGGGAUGACGGCCUUCGGGUUGUAAACCGCUUUCGCCUGUGACGAAGCGUGAGUGACGGUAAUGGGUAAAGAAGCACCGGCUAACUACGUG
Molecule: ribosomal RNA, 468 nt
Filed under: uncultured bacterium
Lineage: Bacteria
Description: partial 16S ribosomal RNA
Rfam family: Bacterial small subunit ribosomal RNA
Source: RNAcentral